This 246-nucleotide ribosomal RNA is filed under the name uncultured bacterium. Its description in RNAcentral is "partial 16S ribosomal RNA". It matches the Rfam family "Bacterial small subunit ribosomal RNA", at positions 923 to 1172 of the family's 1533-position model. The record is from RNAcentral.
GCACAAGCAGUGGAGUAUGUGGUUUAAUUCGAAGCAACGCGAAGAACCUUACCAGGUCUUGACAUCCAACUAACGAAGCAGAGAUGCAUCAGGUGCCCUUCGGGGAAAGUUGGGACAGGUGGUGCAUGGUUGUCGUCAGCUCGUGUCGUGAGAUGUUGGGUUAAGUCCCGCAACGAGCGCAACCCUUGUCAUUAGUUGCUACGCAAGAGCACUCUAAUGAGACUGCCGUUGACAAAACGGAGGAAG